RNAcentral lists this ribosomal RNA (253 nucleotides) under uncultured bacterium. Its description in RNAcentral is "partial 16S ribosomal RNA". It matches the Rfam family "Bacterial small subunit ribosomal RNA", at positions 524 to 776 of the family's 1533-position model. The record is from RNAcentral.
UACAGAGGGUGCAGGCGUUAAUCGGAAUUACUGGGCGUAAAGCGUGUGUAGGUGGUUUUCUAAGUCGAACGUGAAAUCCCCGGGCUCAACCCGGGAACUGCGUCCGAGACUGGAAGGCUUGAAUCCGGGAGAGGGAUGUGGAAUUCCAGGUGUAGCGGUGAAAUGCGUAGAUAUCUGGAGGAACAUCGGUGGCGAAGGCGGCAUCCUGGACCGGUAUUGACACUGAGAGACGAAAGCUAGGGGAGCAAAUGGG